GCCCCAAGAAGAAAGGCUACACUAGAGGGGAAUGAAGUAAAGAAAAAGAAAGAAAAAAAGAGAAAGAACAGCCGACAAUAUAUUAUGAAUGUAAAAGAUCUUGACGCACAAGAGCCGAUUACCCCCAACUCAAAUAGAGCUCAAAGAAAUUUAGAAAGAAUGCUAUGAUGACCACAUAGAGUCAUGAUGAAGACUCUAGCUCUGAGGAAGAAAAAAGAAUAAAAAAAGAGAAAGCAAAUUCUUUCCUUAUAGCACAUGAGGAUGAGGUAAAUUUCAAUAACUCAAAUUAUUUUACUUUAGAAGAGUUGCAUGAUGCAUUUUAUGAAU
Molecule: long non-coding RNA, 327 nt
Filed under: Elaeis guineensis (African oil palm)
Lineage: Eukaryota; Viridiplantae; Streptophyta; Magnoliopsida; Arecales; Arecaceae
Description: long non-coding RNA (EGUI_LNC053621)
Source: RNAcentral